AACAAAAAGUCAUUAUUCUCUGUGUCUAUGUGAGCAGCGGGAGAAAGACUGAAAGAGGGAGAUUGGAAAAACCGUAAAGCCAAAACCCUAGGCUAGUGUUAUUGGCUCAAGUUUUAGAACUGGUUCAAUCUUCAAUUUUGGUAACACCCAACACGUGUAAUAGUGUUGUCCUACGGCUACAACUCAAAGUCAUUCUUGGUGGAGCUUGAAGGAAGCCUUUUCUCUAAAACUUCUGUUACAGGUUGAUGAUAUAUGAUGCCGAAUAAUCGUAAACCAAGCAAACGAGGAAGAUUAGAAGCAUAUUACAACCCUAUUCCCAGAGUAGAU
This is a long non-coding RNA of Papaver somniferum (opium poppy), 327 nucleotides long. RefSeq lists it as uncharacterized. NCBI's taxonomy places the organism in Eukaryota, Viridiplantae, Streptophyta, Magnoliopsida, Ranunculales, Papaveraceae. The record is from RefSeq and is a predicted model, not a curated record. The transcript has 3 exons.